Molecule: ribosomal RNA, 253 nt
Filed under: uncultured bacterium
Lineage: Bacteria
Description: partial 16S ribosomal RNA
Rfam family: Bacterial small subunit ribosomal RNA
Source: RNAcentral
UACAGGGGGUGCAAACGUUGCUCGGAAUCAUUGGGCGUAAAGCGCACGUAGGCGGUCUGUUAUGUCGGAUGUGAAAGCCCUUGGCUCAACUGAGGAAGUGCAUCCGAAACUGGCAGGCUAGAGUACUAAAGAGGAUCGCGGAAUUCCCGGUGUAGAGGUGAAAUUCGUAGAUAUCGGGAGGAACACCGGUGGCGAAGGCGGCGAUCUGGGUAGAUACUGACGCUGAGGUGCGAAGGCCAGGGGAGCAAACGGG